UAAGAAGAGGUGUUGUGGAAGCACAAGAGGUUUUGAUCCUCUAAGGAUAAGUUCGAAUCUUAUCUUUUUAG
Molecule: transfer RNA, 71 nt
Filed under: Stereobalanus canadensis
Lineage: Eukaryota; Metazoa; Hemichordata; Enteropneusta; Harrimaniidae
Description: tRNA-Gln
Rfam family: tRNA
About the family: Transfer RNA (tRNA) molecules are approximately 80 nucleotides in length.
Source: RNAcentral